CCCUGGGUCACUGGUGAUUCUUCCCUUUGACGUUGCACAAGUUGCUUUUCCCUGGGUUUUCGGUUGGGGAAAGUGGGAAUAAUGGUCAGACUUCAUUCCCUGGAUGGUUGCAAGGAUUCGCUGCGUACUCACGAGUCGCAUGCCUAGCCCCGUGCCUGGCGUCGGGCAGAACCUUGGAAACGCGGGCUCCUUCCCUGGCUGAGCGGCUUCCCCUCCACACCUGCCCGCAGCUGCCCUGCGGGGAGCGCGCGCGCUGAGGGGAACGUCGGGACAGAGGGAGUGCUCCUGAGGACAGAUCCUGCUCAAAACCACGCCAGUGACUGCAGUCACCGAGAGAGCGCCUCUCCACGCUUCAUUUGCCUUUUAAAUGAAGAGUGGGGUGGGCUGGGGGGGUCUGCUCAUUACAAGAGGACAGAAGAGGCCGCGAGCCCUCCCCAGGCCCACGCUGUCCGCCAUUAGGGCAGCCCGGCCCGGCGCUGCUCUCACUCCAUUAGCCUUCAGGAAUAAAAAGAAUGAUUUCACUCCUGCCAGCCUGCCAGUCCCAGGCCUCCUCCUGGGGAAGCCUAAGAAGAUCUCACUGAACUCACCCCACCCGAUUCAGAACCAGGGGCGGCUUCGAGAAAAUGUGCCCCUACUCACGCGUUGCCAGGUGGACCCAGGAAGCUGAGCUGCUGGCGGGGUGUGCUGCUGGGGACUCGAAGCUCGCACCCCUGUCCCUGAGUAAGGACUCAGAACCUGUCCCUUCAAAGGGAGAGUGGGCAGGAUCAGCCUCCCCAGACCCAGGGGAUGCACAGCCGGAGUUAACUGAGCUACCCCAGUCUUAGACCUGCAUCUUUUAAAAUGAUAUAUAUGACACAUUUAUUUAUUGACUUUCUCUUUUGUUAAGAAAAAUCUUAAGGGUGCAGCAGGAUGAGUUUUUACAUAUGUAUACACACACUCAUGUAACUAACCACUUAGAUCAGGAUAAAGCACUUCCAGCACCCCCAGAGUUCCCUCAUGCCAAAAUCACUGUGAGCCUAAACCCAUCCCCUCCCCACCCUAAGGCUACAAUUUUUUUUUAAGCUGGAGUCUCUCUGUUGCCCAGGCUGGAGUGCAGUGCCACCCUCUCAGCUCACUGCAACUUCCACCUCCUCCUGGGUUCAAGUGAUUCACCUCCUUCAGCCUUCCAAGUAGGUAGCUGGGAUUACAGGUGCCCGCCACCAUGCUGGCUAAGUUUUGUAUUUUUUUGUAGAGGUGGGGUUUUACUAUUUUGGCCAGGCUGUUCUCGAACUCCUGACCUCAAGCAAUCUGCCCGUCUAGGCCUCUCAAAGUGCUGGGAUUACAGGCAUGAGCCACCGUGCCCAGCUGAGAUAACUAUUAUUCUGACCUCUAUUGCCACUUUAUUUGUUGGUGAAUUUUAUAUAAAUAGAAUCAUGCAGUAUACAUCUUUUGAUGUUGGCUUCGUUUUCUCAGCUCCUGUCUCUCUGUUGUCCAUGUUGCUGUUUGUAUCGGUAACGCAUUAUUUUUCACUGCUAUAUAGUACUCCACCAUAUGAACAUUCCACAAGUCAUUCUAUCCUUCUCCUGUUGAUAGGUAGCUGG
Long non-coding RNA from Callithrix jacchus (white-tufted-ear marmoset), 1580 nucleotides. Lineage: Eukaryota; Metazoa; Chordata; Mammalia; Primates; Cebidae. The record is from Ensembl.